CAAGCAGGCAGAAGUGGUUGCCCCAUUGUUUGAUAACAAAGGGGAGGAAAGUCCGAGCUCCACAGGAUGAUGCACCCAGGUAAUUUUGGGCCUCACGGUCAGUGAGAGGAUUAGAGCUACAGUGACGAUACUUCGAUUCGGUCCGACGACGUCGGACCUCACUCAGUAUUGGUCGUACGCAGGGUUUACCCUGAGCGACCGAGCUCGAGCGAGAGAGUCGAAGGGUGAAACGAGCAAUCUCUGCAUGGAGCAAGGCCAAAUAGGCAGAAAGUUAUGUCGUACGACGUACGAUAAUAUGCGAAUUGAUCCGGUUCGCCGCAUUUGCGGGUAGGCUGCAAGAGUUUGAGAAGUAAUUCUCAAAGUAAGUUGAAUAACCACUCUGCGUGCUCCUUUGGAGCGCGUGGCACAGAACUCGGCUUACGUCUGCUUUGACA
This 434-nucleotide RNase P RNA is filed under the name Candidatus Omnitrophota bacterium. RNAcentral describes it as "RNase P RNA component class A". It matches the Rfam family "Bacterial RNase P class A". From Rfam's summary of the family: Ribonuclease P (RNase P) is a ubiquitous endoribonuclease, found in archaea, bacteria and eukarya as well as chloroplasts and mitochondria. Lineage: Bacteria; Pseudomonadati; Candidatus Omnitrophota. The record is from RNAcentral.